CUGGGCGUUAAGUUGCAGGGUAUAGACCCGAAACCCGGUGAUCUAGCCAUGGGCAGGUUGAAGGUUGGGUAACACUAACUGGAGGACCGAACCGACUAAUGUUGAAAAAUUAGCGGAUGACUUGUGGCUGGGGGUGAAAGGCCAAUCAAACCGGGAGAUAGCUGGUUCUCCCCGAAAGCUAUUUAGGUAGCGCCUCGUGAAUUCAUCUCCGGGGGUAGAGCACUGUUUCGGCAAGGGGGUCAUCCCGACUUACCAACCCGAUGCAAACUGCGAAUACCGGAGAAUGUUAUCACGGGAGACACACGGCGGGUGCUAACGUCCGUCGUGAAGAGGGAAACAACCCAGACCGCCAGCUAAGGUCCCAAAGUCAUGGUUAAGUGGGAAACGAUGUGGGAAGGCCCAGACAGCCAGGAUGUUGGCUUAGAAGCAGCCAUCAUUUAAAGAAAGCGUAAUAGCUCACUGGUCGAGUCGGCCUGCGCGGAAGAUGUAACGGGGCUAAACCAUGCACCGAAGCUGCGGCAGCGACGCUUAUGCGUUGUUGGGUAGGGGAGCGUUCUGUAAGCCUGUGAAGGUGUGCUGUGAGGCAUGCUGGAGGUAUCAGAAGUG
Molecule: ribosomal RNA, 606 nt
Filed under: Escherichia coli
Lineage: Bacteria; Pseudomonadati; Pseudomonadota; Gammaproteobacteria; Enterobacterales; Enterobacteriaceae
Description: partial 23S ribosomal RNA
Rfam family: Bacterial large subunit ribosomal RNA
Source: RNAcentral